AUACGUAGGGAGCGAGCGUUAUCCGGAUUCAUUGGGCGUAAAGAGCGCGUAGGCGGCCUCUCAAGCGGGAUCUCUAAUCCGAGGGCUCAACCCCCGGCCGGAUCCCGAACUGGGAGGCUCGAGUUCGGUAGAGGCAGGCGGAAUUCCCGGUGUAGCGGUGGAAUGCGCAGAUAUCGGGAAGAACACCGAUGGCGAAGGCAGCCUGCUGGGCCGCAACUGACGCUGAGGCGCGAAAGCUAGGGGAGCGAACAGGAUUAGAUACCCUGGUAGUCCUAGCCGUAAACGAUGGAUACUAGGUGUGGAGGGCUCCGCCCUCCGUGCCGCAGCCAACGCAUUAAGUAUCCCGCCUGGGGAGUACGGCCGCAAGGCUAAA
RNAcentral lists this ribosomal RNA (373 nucleotides) under uncultured bacterium. RNAcentral's name for it is "bacterial SSU rRNA". It matches the Rfam family "Bacterial small subunit ribosomal RNA", at positions 523 to 898 of the family's 1533-position model. The record is from RNAcentral.